Molecule: ribosomal RNA, 483 nt
Filed under: uncultured bacterium
Lineage: Bacteria
Description: partial 16S ribosomal RNA
Rfam family: Bacterial small subunit ribosomal RNA
Source: RNAcentral
GACGAACGCUGGCGGCGUGCUUAACACAUGCAAGUCGAACGCUGAAGCUCAGCUUUUGUUGGGUGGAUGAGUGGCGAACGGGUGAGUAACACGUGAGUAACCUGCCCCCUUCUUUGGGAUAACGCCCGGAAACGGGUGCUAAUACUGGAUAUUCACUGGUCUUCGCAUGGGGGUUGGUGGAAAGGGUUUUUCUGGUGGGGGAUGGGCUCGCGGCCUAUCAGCUUGUUGGUGGGGUGAUGGCCUACCAAGGCUUUGACGGGUAGCCGGCCUGAGAGGGUGACCGGUCACAUUGGGACUGAGAUACGGCCCAGAGUCCUACGGGAGGCAGCAGUGGGGAAUAUUGCACAAUGGGCGCAAGCCUGAUGCAGCGACGCCGCGUGAGGGAUGGAGGCCGUCGGGUUGUGAACCUCUUUCGCUAAUGGUCAAGCCGCAACAAUGGUUGUGGUGAGGGUAGUGGGUAAAGAAGCGCCGGCUAACUACGUG